Varroa destructor (honeybee mite) is the source of this 322-nucleotide long non-coding RNA. RefSeq lists it as uncharacterized. The record is from RefSeq and is a predicted model, not a curated record. NCBI's taxonomy places the organism in Eukaryota, Metazoa, Arthropoda, Arachnida, Mesostigmata, Varroidae.
UUCAAUUGUACCAGUCGUUAGUUAUUUUUUUUCGUUAACGAAUUUGUCAAGAGGAACAACAUCCUGGCAGCGGCUCGCGUAGCAGAGAGUCGAGUAAAAUCUCAUACAGUUGGAUCACGUUCCGUGAACAUUCGUGCUAUUCGUGGCACAUAGUCGGACAGAUAUACAUGGCCCUACGGAAGCUCACAUGGCAAUCAAUCGAUAGCUCGUCAUGUCACGUUCCGUUGUCCUGAAUCGAGCUAAUUACGUAUCUCAGGCUUCUCUUGACCUGAUAAUAUGGGCUGCCUUUUAUGGAACUCCAUUCAUCCGCAUGAUUAGAUCG